GAAUUUUGGACAAUGGGCGAAAGCCUGAUCCAGCAAUGCCGCGUGCAGGAUGAAGGCCUUCGGGUUGUAAACUGCUUUUGUACGGAACGAAAAGCUUUGGGUUAAUACUCUGGAGUCAUGACGGCUCCGUAAGAAUAAGCAACGGCUAACUCCCUGCCCGAAGCCGAGGUAAGAGGUCGGGUGCAAGCGUGAAUCGGAAUUAAUGGGCGUAAGGCGUGCGCAGGCUGUUUUGUAAGACAGAGGUGAAAUCCCCGGGCUCAACCUGGGAACUGCCUUUGUGACUGCAAGGCUAGAGUACGGCAGAGGGGGGUGGAAUUCCGCGUGUAGCAGUGAAAUGCGUAGAUAUGCGGAGGAACACCGGUGGCGAAGGCAACCCCCUGGGCCUGUACUGACGCUCAUGCACGAAAGCGUGGGGAGCAAACA
RNAcentral lists this ribosomal RNA (423 nucleotides) under uncultured bacterium. Its description in RNAcentral is "partial 16S ribosomal RNA". It matches the Rfam family "Bacterial small subunit ribosomal RNA", at positions 359 to 774 of the family's 1533-position model. The record is from RNAcentral.